This 446-nucleotide ribosomal RNA is filed under the name uncultured bacterium. RNAcentral describes it as "partial 16S ribosomal RNA". It matches the Rfam family "Bacterial small subunit ribosomal RNA", at positions 338 to 795 of the family's 1533-position model. The record is from RNAcentral.
CCUACGGGCGGCAGCAGUCGAGAAUCAUUCACAAUGGGGGAAACCCUGAUGGUGCGACGCCGCGUGGGGGAAUGAAGGUCUUCGGAUUGUAAACCCCUGUCAUGUGGGAGCAAAUUAAAAAGAUAGUACCACAAGAGGAAGAGACGGCUAACUCUGUGCCAGCAGCCGCGGUAAUACAGAGGUCUCAAGCGUUGUUCGGAAUCCCUGGGCGUAAGGCGUGCGUAGGCUGUUUCGUAAGUCGUGUGUGAAAGGCGCGGGCUCAACCCGCGGACGGCACAUGAUACUGCGAGACUAGAGUAAUGGAGGGGGAACCGGAAUGCUCGGUGUAGCAGUGAAAUGCGUAGAUAUCGAGAGGAACACUCGUGGCGAAGGCGGGUUCCUGGACAUUAACUGACGCUGAGGCACGAAGGCCAGGGGAGCGAAAGGGAUUAGAUACCCCAGUAGUC